CCCCCUUGGAGCAAGAACCCCAAAACUCAAUUCCAGACUUUUCUUUGUAGUAAGAAACCUAGUAGUAUAAUUUCAGAGAGAUAUAUACACUUAAACACAAGUUAUUGUCUGUAAACUAGAAAAAUGCUUCUCUUUGGCCCUUUUUUGGCCCCUAAAUCCUACAUGUUCGGGGAAAUUAACCCCAAAUUCAAUCCCAGCCGGCCCUUUGUUAUAUGGAACCUUGUUGUACAAUGACAGAGAGAUCCAUACAGUUACACACAAGUUAUUGUCCUGAAACUAGAUUUUUUUUUUAUUUGACCCUUAAUUCCUAGACUGUUUGCCUCAUAACCCUUAAAAUGAAUCCCAACCUUCUAAUUAUGGUAUUAAACAUUGUGGUACAAUUUCAGAGCAAUUGAAAUACUUAUACACAACUUAUUGUCCUGAAACUAGAUAAAUGUUUGUUUUGGGACCCUUAUUCCUAAACCUUUGGGACCAUAACCCCCAAAAUCAAUCCCAA
This 496-nucleotide long non-coding RNA is filed under the name Mytilus galloprovincialis (Mediterranean mussel). Lineage: Eukaryota; Metazoa; Mollusca; Bivalvia; Mytilida; Mytilidae. The record is from RNAcentral.